GAUGAACGCUAGCGGGAGGCUUAACACAUGCAAGUCGAGGGGCAGCAUAGGGUAGCAAUACUCUGAUGGCGACCGGCAAACGGGUGAGUAACGCGUAUGCAACCUACCCUGUACAGGGGGAUAACCCGGAGAAAUUCGGACUAAUAUCCCGUAAUAAUAUCCGGAGGCAUCUUUGGAUAUUUAAAGUUCCGACGGUACGGGAUGGGCAUGCGUAACAUUAACUGGUUGGUAAGGUAACGGCUUACCAAGGCUAUGAUGUUUAGGGGUCCUGAGAGGGUGGUCCCCCACACUGGUACUGAGACACGGACCAGACUCCUACGGGAGGCGGCAGUGAGGAAUAUUGGUCAAUGGGCGCAAGCCUGAACCAGCCAUCCCGCGUGCAGGAUGACGGCCCUACGGGUUGUAAACUGCUUUUCCCCGGGGCGAAUAACCCCCUCGCGAGGGGGGAUGCCGGUACCGGGGGAAUAAGGAUCGGCUAACUCCGUG
This 486-nucleotide ribosomal RNA is filed under the name uncultured bacterium. Its description in RNAcentral is "bacterial SSU rRNA". It matches the Rfam family "Bacterial small subunit ribosomal RNA", at positions 28 to 507 of the family's 1533-position model. The record is from RNAcentral.